CCUACGGGAGGCAGCAGUGGGGAAUAUUGCUCAAUGGGCGGAACCCUGAACCAGCAACGCCGCGUGGAGGAUGAAGGUUUUCGGAUUGUAAACUCCUUUUGUUAGAGAAGAUAAUGACGGUAUCUAACGAAUAAGCACCGGCUAACUCCGUGCCAGUAGCCGCGGUAAUACGGAGGGUGCAAGCGUUACUCGGAAUCACUGGGCGUAAAGAGCGCGGAGGCGGGAUAGCAAGUCAGAUGUGAAAUCCUAUGGCUUAACCAUAGAACUGCAUUUGAAACUGGUCUUCUAGAGUAUGGGAGAGGUAGGUGGAAUUCUUGGUGUAGGGGUGAAAUCCGUAGAGAUCAAGAGGAAUCCUCAUUGCGAAGGCGGCCUGCUGGAACGUAACUGACGCUGAUGCACGAAAGCGUGGGUAUCAAACAGGAUUAGGUACCCCUGUAGUC
RNAcentral lists this ribosomal RNA (440 nucleotides) under uncultured bacterium. RNAcentral's name for it is "partial 16S ribosomal RNA". It matches the Rfam family "Bacterial small subunit ribosomal RNA", at positions 338 to 795 of the family's 1533-position model. The record is from RNAcentral.